This 1021-nucleotide long non-coding RNA is filed under the name Mus pahari (shrew mouse). RNAcentral's name for it is "lncRNA (MGP_PahariEiJ_G0005620.1)". Lineage: Eukaryota; Metazoa; Chordata; Mammalia; Rodentia; Muridae. The record is from RNAcentral.
AGUGUCAGCAGAGAGGACCAGCACAGAGGGUGAUGCGGGCGGGCGGUCCUGAGGUCCUGCUUGUUGUCAGGUGAAGGUUUCUGAGUAAACUGACAGAGCCAGACUAAAGUGAGAUUGGUAGAUGGACUUGGGAUGAAGAAGAACACCACCAGCAGCAGUUAUCCUAAUGGGAAACUGGAGGCUCCUCAGCCCUGGGCUGUCCCUCAUGUGCUGGCAUGUGUGCCUUUCCCCUCACGGUCCGCCUUGCUGACACCACUUUGGCACCUUGAGUUAUCUAGCUCUGCCAGUCAGACUCAGCCCUAAGGAAACUGAUUUGGAACAUCAAUUCUGUGAGGAAAGAGCCAGGACACUCCACUGUCCCCUUGGCAUCCCCGCAGGACUGUGGAGCAUGGUGUGAGCGAGCCACGCUGCAAGCUCCCUUAGCUAUGGAUCAAGCCAUUCCAACUGCCAUGACCUCACUGUACAGUUGCGUCCUGGGCACUUUGGCUAUGUACGUGGUUAUCACUUGGUUAUACUGCCUUGUGAUAGAGGCAUCAUUCAUCAUUUAAAAGCCCACAUCAGAAGAAGGUACUAAUAAAAUAAGAAAUUCUCUCUGCAGUUACAUGCAGCUGAAAGGUGGAGAAUGAACUAAAUAAGUAUGGCAGUGUGUUAAAAAAUCCAUAAAAAUCACAUAUAGGUAAUGGUUACCAGUGGCCGAAAUUGCACAAGAGAAAGAUUUCACUUUUAAGUGCCUUCUGAUGGAGCUACACAAUAUCAUGGGUAAAAAUGUAAAUUUCUUCUGCUAAUAAUAUUGCUAAGCAGAGAGAGAUACUCCAUGACAUCAUCGAAAAGCAAAAAUCAAGACACCAAAUGAGAGAAAUUCACGAGAUGUAUGCUGAUGUUCCAAUUGACAGCAAGUAAUAACUGGGCAUUUUAUAAGGUAAAUUGAUUAUUAGUCUCUGGGUAUGGUGGUCAUGUUACACUUCUAUAUCCAGUAAGGCUACUUCCCUUUCGGAGAUAUGCAUUAAGGUACUUACAGUUA